AAUAUAAAUUAUAAUUAGUUUCGACCUAAUUUUCACCUAUUUUAUUAGGUUAUAUUU
Molecule: transfer RNA, 57 nt
Filed under: Liposcelis paeta
Lineage: Eukaryota; Metazoa; Arthropoda; Insecta; Psocodea; Liposcelididae
Description: tRNA-Arg
Source: RNAcentral